Molecule: ribosomal RNA, 235 nt
Filed under: uncultured bacterium
Lineage: Bacteria
Description: partial 16S ribosomal RNA
Rfam family: Bacterial small subunit ribosomal RNA
Source: RNAcentral
UGGCGGACGGGUGAGUAAUGUCUAGGGAAACUGCCGAUGGAGGGGGAUAACUACUGGAAACGGUAGCUAAUACCGCAUAACGUCGCAAGACCAAAGAGGGGGACCUUAGGGCCUCUUGCCAUCGGAUGUGCCCAGAUGGGAUUAGCUAGUAGGUGGGGUAACGGCUCACCUAGGCGACGAUCCCUAGCUGGUCUGAGAGGAUGACCAGCCACACUGGAACUGAGACACGGUCCAG